UCGACUCCUAGAACUGUGAGUAACCUUACUAUCAUCUUAAUUAUCUAGAGUGGUUUUUAUCUGAUUUUGUGAUUUUAUAAAAAAUGAGUUUAAAUGGUAAAUCUUGUGUUUUAUAAGCAAAAUGUGUUUAAAUAAAAUGAUUUUAUAAAUUGUCUUGAAAUUGAAUUAUGGUUUUGAAAAUAGAGUAAUUGGAGACCACUUGAUGUGUUGUAAAUUUAUGGUUUUAAAUUGAAUGGCUUAUGACAAUAUAUGAGCAUGAAUGGCUAAACUAAUUUUCGGUGUUAGAAUUAUUUGUACUGUGUAUUCAGCCUUAAGAGCCUACGUUGCCAUAAAUUGCCAUGUCAUGCAGAUAAAGAUUUUAUAAAUUAGGUGGUAGAUAAAAUAAUCCAUAAUCCCUGCAGUGGAGGUUCUGUGGACUAGCUUAAGAGAGGGGGCACAGAAUCAGAUAUACCUUACCUCGAUCGGAGAGCCGUGUGGAGGGUGUCUCUAGAGGUAAAGAUUUGAGCGCACUUCACGUGGAUCACCGCGUGAGAGUGAGACUCAGCCAACGCCAAGGCAUGGCU
This 563-nucleotide long non-coding RNA is filed under the name Theobroma cacao (cacao). RNAcentral describes it as "long non-coding RNA (TCAC_LNC001913)". Lineage: Eukaryota; Viridiplantae; Streptophyta; Magnoliopsida; Malvales; Malvaceae. The record is from RNAcentral.